CGUUACUCGGAUUGACUGGGCGUAAAGGGCGCGUAGGCGGUUUGUACAGUCAGACGUGAAAUUCCUGGGCUCAACCUGGGGGCUGCGUUUGAUACGUGCAGACUUGAGUUCGGAAGAGGGUCGUGGAAUUCCCAGUGUAGAGGUGAAAUUCGUAGAUAUUGGGAAGAACACCGGUGGCGAAGGCGGCGACCUGGUCCGAUACUGACGCUGAGGCGCGAAAGCGUGGGGAGCAAACAGG
This 238-nucleotide ribosomal RNA is filed under the name uncultured bacterium. Its description in RNAcentral is "partial 16S ribosomal RNA". It matches the Rfam family "Bacterial small subunit ribosomal RNA", at positions 539 to 776 of the family's 1533-position model. The record is from RNAcentral.